Molecule: transfer RNA, 63 nt
Filed under: marine eukaryotic metagenome
Rfam family: tRNA
About the family: Transfer RNA (tRNA) molecules are approximately 80 nucleotides in length. Their secondary structure includes four short double-helical elements and three loops (D, anti-codon, and T loops).
Source: RNAcentral
CGGUAGCUCAGCUGGUAGAGCAAUUGACUUUUAAUCAAUAGGUCCAGGGUUCGAAUCCCUGCC